GGGCGAGGCGCGGCCCCAGCGGGGCGGGAGUCCCGGCGCCGCCUCCCCGCCUUCCUUCCCCUUCCCCCUCUCCUUCCCGGCGCCCGAGGUGGGGGCGAUGCGGGAACAUGGCUGGCGCCUUGGCACGGCGGCAGCGCGGGGGAGGGAGUUGUGUUGGCUAGAGCUGGCUCAUCCUCCCCGCAGUAGCGGCUGAGGAGCGCCGCGUGUCUCCGUCGCGCCUGCGGCUCCUGCAGCGGAGGCUCUGCGGCGGCUUCCCGUCGCCCUCACGGCUCUGCCGGAGGCUCGAGGGGGGAUUCCGCCUCCAGUGUGUGGGUCCCUCGCAGCCCGGUGCCUCGGGCGCGGCUCGGGCUCGCUGGCCCGCCCGGCUGCUGCUCGGAAGGCUCGGCGGGGAAUGCGGGACAGACGGACAGACUGUGCCCGCGUCUGGCAGGGUCCGUGUCACGGGGGCGGGCAGGGACACCCUGAGGCCCCGAGCUCUGCUCUUGCGGCCUCUCUUCCUCAGGUGUGUCUUCCCGCUGAGGCUUCUCCGCACCGCAGCGGGCGCCGGUGGGAAAAGGAGGCUGCUCUCUCAGCUGUCUGUGCUCACAAACCUGCUGCAAAUUGUGUUUCUGUAAAGGCUGGAGAAGGAGGAUGUCUGUGCCUUCAGGAGCUUUCUCCCUGGCAUUGUUCAUGGGGCCGUGGCCAAGGCAAGAAUAGGAGGGACAUUCUGGCCCACAGUAUGGAGUUAUGACUGCAACACUAAAAGUGUUGUCUUCAGUUUAUUUGAAGUCUCACCCUAACGGCUUACAAUUGAUGGUAUAAAAUUCAUUCUUUCAAUUAAAGUGAUCACCCCCUAUCAAGCUG
Molecule: long non-coding RNA, 843 nt
Organism: Passer domesticus (house sparrow)
Lineage: Eukaryota; Metazoa; Chordata; Aves; Passeriformes; Passeridae
Exons: 3
Source: RefSeq, a predicted model, not a curated record